GCCCAGGUGGUGGAAUUGGUAGACACGCAGGACUUAAAAUCCUGUGGCCAGUGAUGGCCGUGCGGGUUCAAGUCCCGCCCCGGGUA
Molecule: transfer RNA, 86 nt
Filed under: Saprospiraceae bacterium
Lineage: Bacteria; Pseudomonadati; Bacteroidota; Saprospiria; Saprospirales; Saprospiraceae
Also listed under: 1 other name
Description: tRNA-Leu
Rfam family: tRNA
About the family: Transfer RNA (tRNA) molecules are approximately 80 nucleotides in length. Their secondary structure includes four short double-helical elements and three loops (D, anti-codon, and T loops). Further hydrogen bonds mediate the characteristic L-shaped molecular structure. tRNAs have two regions of fundamental functional importance: the anti-codon, which is responsible for specific mRNA codon recognition, and the 3' end, to which the tRNAs corresponding amino acid is attached (by aminoacyl-tRNA synthetases). tRNAs cope with the degeneracy of the genetic code in two manners: having more than one tRNA (with a specific anti-codon) for a particular amino acid; and 'wobble' base-pairing, i.e. permitting non-standard base-pairing at the 3rd anti-codon position.
Source: RNAcentral